RNAcentral lists this long non-coding RNA (601 nucleotides) under Equus asinus (donkey). Its description in RNAcentral is "lncRNA (ENSEASG00005035121.1)". The record is from RNAcentral. Lineage: Eukaryota; Metazoa; Chordata; Mammalia; Perissodactyla; Equidae.
GAAACAGCAGAGCCACAUUCAAAGAGCAGGUACAUCACUCUGAGAAGCCCUUAGAAUGGAGACCCCUCCAGUGAAGGUAAUAGGGAGAGAAUAAAGAAUAAAAUGUCACCUGGAAGCAAAGAGAGGGCAAAAAUGUGAAGACUCUGCCAUUCAUAACACCUUAAGUCCAAUUUCACGCUAGCCCUAAAGGGAGGAUAGGAAACAGGAAAAGGAAGAUCGAGGAACAAGAAGUGGUCAGAAAUGAGUCUGGUUGCAGAGGAUCUGGUGGAGGACUCCAUGACCCCAGAAGACGCUGGAGCCGUUAGAUGAGAGAAGCCUUGAUCUGUGAAAGACUGCAUGGGUCAACCUCCAUUGGACUGUGAUAUGAAUUCCUGGACACAGGGACAAAGAAGAGAUCUCCCAAUUCGAACACACAUUUUAUUGAUGAAUCCUAGUUCACUGGCCUGUGCUCACUUGUAGAAAAGUGUCCUUGACUUGAACUCAAAGCACCCUACAGUAAAGUGAUCAUGUAAUUUAUAUGCAAAAAUGACUACAGCACUUUUGAGAGUGAAAGGGGACAUAAUUACACUAUCUUGACAAGCAUAAAUAGGAACUAUGCCAG